CCUGAAGUGUUUUAGAAAUAAGGCAAAGAAAUAUGAAUAGCUGGAUUAAAAUAUUUUGCCUACGGAAAUCCAGUUGAAACCUUCAAAAGAAAGUAUUAUCUAGACCAGUAUUAUCUAAAAUUGUCAUAAUAAUCACCCAGGGUUUAGGAAGGAGGAAAAAAGAAAGCAAAUCCUCAGGCCUCACUUGCAGAGAUUCUGAUUUAAAAGAUCUGCAUUAGGGGCUGGAAAUCUGUAUUUUUAUAAGCACUCCAGGUGGCUGUUCGGAUUGGGGAAAAAAUGACCAAGGAAAGUUAUUAUCCAUCUUUGAAAGUGACUUUUAUUAAAAGAUAUUUCAAUUGUCAAUAUAAAAAGUUCUGUUAACUAUUUCAUUAAGAACACAUUCAUUUGCCUCACUAUAAUUUCACGUUUAUGUUAAUUUUGUUUUCAGAUGGCAAGGAUUAGCUGCUAAAGAAGUCCUAAAAUUAUUUCUCAGGCUUUAAAGAAAACUGUUUUACUAUUAAACAUAAAGCAAAAUAACUACCAUAUUCUUAAAUUUGAUAAGUAUUUUUAAGCCUCCUAUAUGCCUUCUACUGUGACAGGUACUAAAAAGGGGACACCAAAGGAAUAUUUAGCUUAUUUGUCUUCAUGGAGCAACAACUUAAACUGAAGAGACAAAAUACUUAGCAUUUAUAGCUGACAACUAGAGUACAUUUACAAUCCAGCUACUGUUCACCUUAAUGCUAACAAUUUUAUGGUUGUUUAAAGGUGAGGGCACAGACAGAUGAAUUCGCCUAAGGUCAGCAAGCCAGCAUAUGAUAGAACUAGAAUCAAACAUCCACAACCUGACACUCGUCUGUGUUCUGAAUCACUGCACCGUACCGCCUCAUGGAGAUCUUAGAGAUUCAGCAUCAAGCUAUGAGCACAAAACGUGGCCCAGGAGAAAUAAGAGUCCUUCAAAAUAUAUUAUGCAGAAAGAAGACUCAAAGAUGACUGCAAAGCUGCUAGCUUGGGCAAAUGGAAGAAAGACAGUGUCCAUGACAAAAAUGAGAUAGCUGGAAAAGAGAAGUUAGAUUGAUGAGGGAGGAGAGAGGCAAAAGAAAUGCUGGAUUUGAGGUGAUGGCCGAACAUCCGUAAGAGCUCGGUAAACAGGGGGCCUGGCUGGCUCAGUAGGUAGAGCAUGUAACUCUUGAUCUCGGGGUUGUGAGUUCGAGCCCGAUGUUGGGUGCAGAGAUCACUCAAAAAAAUAAAAUAAAAUCUUUAAAAAAAAGAGUUAUGUAAACAACUGAAAAUUAUUAUUAAAUAAAUUUAUUUUCCUUUCAAGACUAAAAGUCAGUGAUUAAAGCUAGAGAUGUGAAUUCACCACACAGUGCAACUGACAUGACAUCCUUUAUUGUACUUUUUUUCAUUUAAUACUUAUUAUAAAAUGUUUAAUUGUCUGCCUUCCCUGAAACUAUUAUCUUUGGAGGGUAGUGACAAUGUCUUUCUUUCAUUUACUCAUUCAACAAAUAUUUACUGAGCACCUACUCUGGCCAGCCUGUAGCAAUGUGAUGGAGAACAACAUUCCUGCUGCCACAGAACACAAGACAACAGGGUAAUGACUCUCAGCCAUUCCUGAGUAUUAGAAUCAUUUGUGAAGGAGAUGUUAUAAAAAUAGGUACUCCAGCCUGAUGCAUUAACCUUGGACCCAAUUAGUACUUGCCCUGGUGGGCCCCAGGUAGGUUUAGUUUUUUUAAGGGUUUCACAGGCAAUUCUGAGAAUCAGGGUUGAGAAUCACUUUUAAAGCAGGUGUCUUCACCAGUGUACCUUAGCAUCGUUGCUUGGCACAAAGUAGGCACUCAAAAUAUUGAGUUACCAUUUAAUAGUCAAGGAGAAUGAGAAUGAGAGAAGUUACCUUGCCCAGAGGUACAUAUAGCCAGCAGCAAAGCUAGACUUCAAAUGAAUUUUCUGAGGCAACCAAUCCCUUCAACAAAUGUGAGUGCCUGACAGGAAAAGGAUCCUAGAUGGUGUAAUGGAGGCUGGGGCAAUGUGUGUCACGGAGGCUUGGCAUCCCAGAAGCCAAGGGUGACAGAAAUCUGAAGAAGCCAAACUUCCAAAAGAGCUGGCUCCCAUUGUCACCACUGCCACAGCUAUUAGCUGUUGUUUUGCUCUCAUUUAUUUUUGUAUUUUUGGUGUCAUCUAUUUUGACAUUCAGAAAAUAGAGAAUACAAUAAACACUUAUGUAUCCACCAAGAUUUAUUAUAUCUCAAUAUUUGUCAUCAUUUUCAGUGAUUUUUUUAGAAACAAGAUGUAUUAUUCUACCUUAGAGACAAUCAUUGGUGUUUAUUAUUCCUCUGCAUAAUUUUGUAUUUUUACUGUAAAUUAAUAUAUCCCUAAUUACAUGUUUUUGUAUAUGUCAAACUUCAUAUAAAUGGUAUCAGACUAUUUAUAUAAUUUUACUCCUUCUCCUCCCUUGAAAUUUCUCUAUGUAGCCCUAGUUCACUCAUUUUAACUCUGUAUUGGUAUUAUCAAUAAAUCACAAUUUACUUAUCCAUC
Molecule: long non-coding RNA, 2511 nt
Organism: Neofelis nebulosa (Clouded leopard)
Lineage: Eukaryota; Metazoa; Chordata; Mammalia; Carnivora; Felidae
Exons: 2
Source: RefSeq, a predicted model, not a curated record